Molecule: long non-coding RNA, 300 nt
Organism: Pieris brassicae (large cabbage white)
Lineage: Eukaryota; Metazoa; Arthropoda; Insecta; Lepidoptera; Pieridae
Exons: 2
Source: RefSeq, a predicted model, not a curated record
UGUGAACGUCCACCGAUUUACCACCUUCGAAAACAUCCACCUUCCCCCUCUAAUGGUAGGUGUAGUCUUCUAUGCCUGACACACGGCUUGGAUUUUUUAAAAGCCGCACGAGGAAGUUAACACAAGGAAAAAUUCUUUGGGUUCCAAAUCGGAGUACGCACUGCUCCACAUCCAUUUACAAAUUCUCAUAAAACAACAUAACACACCAAAACCAUUACUAUUUGUUUAUAUAAAACUAACAAUGCGCGAUGCAUCCAUCUUACUACACAAAAUGACAAUAAAAAAUCUGGGAGACUUCAA